Molecule: long non-coding RNA, 1898 nt
Organism: Alexandromys fortis (reed vole)
Lineage: Eukaryota; Metazoa; Chordata; Mammalia; Rodentia; Cricetidae
Exons: 3
Source: RefSeq, a predicted model, not a curated record
GGGACAUCUGGGAGAGUCCAGAGUGAACCAGGCCGCGUGAGGAGAGGGGAAGGGGAAGAGGAAGAAGAGAAGGGAGAGCCAGAAGAGUACAAGGUGUCUCCCUUCAAUGACCUGACUUGUCUGACCAACCACUUCACUCGUGUGUGAGCCUAGCUGGACUUGGGCUCUGUAUCCUAAGAGGCUCACACAGCCUGGAUGCCAGAGGAGGCUGCAGUCACUAUCAGGGCCUCUGCUUAGAGUCUCACAGCCGGGCUUCUCCCACAGUGAGUGAUCUGAGCCUUCUUUCAGAGGAAACUCGUAGAAGUUUCUGCUUGGUAUGUUUGUUUGCAUUUGUUAAGUGUGGUCAUUUAGCUUCUUAGGGGUUAUCUUAUUUUAUUUUGAAGCAAAUUCAUCCCUGGAAUGCAUGCAUUCUAAUCUGCAUUUGGCCUGCUCAUUAGGGGAGCCUUUUACAUGCCCAGUUGUACAAGUAACUGGGUGGGUUACUGUACCUCACAGAUGAGUUGUUAGAAGUCCAAGUGACUGUAGAUCUACAGUUAUGAUCUUCUCUCAGCAUUGCCAGCAUUGUUUGAGGGCUAUCAAUCUGAUUCUAAUAUCAACUAAUUCCAAACAUUGAUGGGGAGUAUGGAGUCUUUCUCAAUCGAGAGUCUAUCUUCCCAAUUAACUCUAACUUCUGUCAAGUUGACAUAAAACUAGUCAGCCCCAAAUCUGAAUUUAUUUAUUUAUAUAUUUUAUUUUCUGUGUGUGACUAUUUUGCCUGCAUGUAUGUAUGUAUGCAUGUGUACCAUGUGCAUGCCUGGUGCCCUAUGGGGAUCAGAAGAGUGAAUUGAUUUCUCUGGAACUGGAGUUAUGGAUGUUUGUGAAUAAAUGGGGAAUAGAGCCUGGGUCCUUUGUGAGAACAAGAGUUCUUAACCACUGAGCCCUCCCUCCAGCCCUGCCAGAACUGACAUGAUGCCAUAGCUGGAAAAUUCCACACCUGCUCUCAUAAUACCUUGCAGUCAAAAUAUUUCUUAGCCCACAGGAUCUUCUGGAGCUUGGCAGGCCCUGUGCUAAACAGCAAAAGACAACUAUGCCUUCAGCGACCAUGGAGGACCCUGAGGAGAGGCUCUAGGUGCCAACCAAGUAAGUUCUCUGUUGUUUUUUAAUCAAUAACUCAAGUAAAAUUUCAUCCUUCUCAAAGAUCUCUGAUGCAGUUUGACAGCUGAGAGGUUUUGUCAGUUUAAAAGGACAAUCUCAUCAAACAAAUUUCAGUAAAAUACAAAUACAAGACCUGCAAGUUAUAAAGGUGUGAGGACAAAUACAGGCUGCCUUCCUAGUCUUAAAAAUACUUUUCAUUGUGCAAAAAUAUCUGUCACAGUUAUUCUGACAUAAAUAUGCUACUGUUUAUAUAAUGUAUAUGUCUAAAAUUUCUGUUUUUACAAACCCAAAAAAUUAUUGUGAGUUCCAGGGAGCUGAAUUGAAGAAUCCACCUUAAACAGGUCAGAUACAUCCCCUCAAUUCCCUGGCCCUAAUUUUUUUUUUCCUAAACUUAACUUUAUCCUCUGUUCUGCCAAUACCUUAAACAGGUGUAAGAGACACCAGACAUUUCCAUACCACAAACACUGGACAGGAACAAACAGACCAGCUAUGUCAGGAUGUGACCAGCACCCAGAUUUCUAAGGUUCUCUCCACCAAGACGACACCCACAAAUAAGCAGGAAGCAGUCUUGAGAAUCCACUGCCCCAAUAUCUUUAUCCUGUUGUGCCUAAACUUCCGCCUUUUUAUUAUAAAAAAGAGAAGGGAAUGUAAUGGUCUGUUCUGUUCCUUUAAGAGACAAGUCACCCCCCCCCCCCCAUUCGCCGUGGCAAACUGAUCUUCAGCUUCCAGCCUGAGUCCUUACCUUUUCUGUCUCCCUCUGGAAG